GCAGUAAUUAAAUUCAGCAUGAAGAGCAGCAUAAGUUCCCAAAGGAAAAGAUGUCGAUCAUAUUAAAAAACAUUAAUACAAAUACUUGAACAAAAUAUCAUGACGAAUCCCUUCUUUCUCAAAUUGUCGUCAGUAGCAAUAACAAUAUGAAUCACUUUCCAGAUAAUCGGAGUUUUAGAUGGACCAGAAGAGGCACAACUAAAAUAAGUAUCUAUCUUUAAA
Molecule: long non-coding RNA, 222 nt
Filed under: Medicago truncatula (barrel medic)
Lineage: Eukaryota; Viridiplantae; Streptophyta; Magnoliopsida; Fabales; Fabaceae
Description: long non-coding RNA (MTRU_LNC007865)
Source: RNAcentral